AAUAAUAUCAAUCAAAUUCCACUCAGCAACAAGCUGAUUAAAUAUCAGCAUCCUAAGCAAACUGCCUGUGUUUACACUAGAUGGUGUAAUUGAGUCACUGAUGGGCUGCCUCUGAAACAGAUUCAUUAGCUGUUUAUCAGUGAAAGACCAUAUCUACACUCUACAGGGAAGUGUACAAUAUAAAGCACAAACCUCUGUGUAGAGCUUUUUUUUUUAUCAAAUAGGGCAAAUGUAAAUAAAAGCACCUGAAACACAUAAAGAUAUGAUUCGUAACGUGUGUGGUAUGUGUGAGGUCAGCAGAGGUUUUUCUUCCUCAUAAUCUGUAACGUUGCACAGAUGCACAGGCCAGUAGAGUAAUAUCUCGACAGUUCACUGCAAAAGAUUGACGAAGCAUCAGUGUUUUUGUUCUAAAUCAGCGACAGUCGGCGGUGAAGCAGCUCAAGAAUUUACUUCAUUGCAUAACUUCACUGAUGUUCCUGAAGUGGCCACAGAGCUUCUCUGCAGGGGAUGAGGAUGGAUAACUGAAACCAAUGAACAUGCAACAAAGGACCUGAGUCAAAACCAAACCCAGGACAAUGCAGUAACCCAGCAUCCAUCAUUACUGGACACCCUUUUCUUUCCCACCAUUCUAACAGCUACAUCAUCUCAGGCGGUCACAUCAGCAUCGCUACUGACAAUAAUCAAACGUGUUGCUGAUCUGUUUGCUUUUUCCCUUGCUCUUUGACCACAGAAGCCUGUUAUAGAGGGGUCUUUAUUUAGCCCUAUGGGUUGUUGCCUUGGCCUGUUCUUCGCUUAUUAAAGGUUAAAGGAUUGUUCUGCAUUUAGGUGACGGGCACGGAUGUGG
Molecule: long non-coding RNA, 844 nt
Filed under: Mastacembelus armatus (zig-zag eel)
Lineage: Eukaryota; Metazoa; Chordata; Actinopteri; Synbranchiformes; Mastacembelidae
Description: lncRNA (ENSMAMG00000025395.1)
Source: RNAcentral